Nycticebus coucang (slow loris) is the source of this 1246-nucleotide RNA transcript. It is a transcript of the gene named NADH dehydrogenase [ubiquinone] 1 alpha subcomplex subunit 9, mitochondrial-like, with no coding region annotated. The transcript has 2 exons. The record is from RefSeq and is a predicted model, not a curated record. NCBI's taxonomy places the organism in Eukaryota, Metazoa, Chordata, Mammalia, Primates, Lorisidae.
AUGGUAGGAGCCAGCCUUCUGGUCUCUGAAAAAGUAGAACAGAUUUGGAAAACAGAAGAGAAAAACUCUUGGGUUGUUCUGAGGCUGCCAGUGUCAUAUUCUGCCAUCACUGCAGUAGCCACAUCCGUGUUUCAUGGUCCACCCAGGUGCCAUCUUCAUUAUGCCCUCAUACCUCAUGGGAAAGGAGGGCGUUCCUCGGUCAGUGGCAUUGUGGCAACUGUGUUUGGAGCAACAGGAUUCCUGGGUCGAUAUGUUGUCAACUACCUUGGACGUAUGGGAUCACAAGUGAUCAUCCCCUAUCGGUGUGAUCCAUAUGACGUCAUGCACCUUCGUCCCAUGGGUGACCUGGGCCAGCUUAUCUUUCUGGAAUGGAAUGGAAGAGAUAAAGAUUCUAUCCGACGAGCAGUGGAGCACAGCAAUGUGGUCAUCAAUCUUAUUGGACGAGACUGGGAAACCAAGAACUUUGAUUUUGAAGAUGUUUUUGUGAAGAUUCCCCAAGCCAUUGCUUCCAAGGAAGCUGGGGUUGAAAAGUUCAUUCAUGUUUCCCAUUUGAAUGCUAAUAUUAGAAGCUCUUCUAGGUAUUUGAGAAAUAAGGCUGUUGGAGAGAAAGAAGUGAGAGAUGCAUUUCCAGAAGCCAUUAUCAUAAAGCCAUCUGACAUCUUUGGAAGAGAAGAUAGAUUCCUCAAUCAUUUUGCAAAUAUCCAUUCCUUUAUUGGUGUACCUCUUAUUUCCUUGGGCCGGAAGGCACAGAAACAACCAGUAUAUGUUGUAGAUGUAUCAAAAGGAAUUGUUAAUGCAGUUAAGGAUCCAGAUACCAAAGGGAAAAGCUUUGCUUUCUUUGGGCCAAAUCAGUACGUCCUUGUUGACUUGGUGCAGUAUGUCUUUGCUGGGGCUCACAGGCCGUUCCUCCCGUACCCUUUGCCACGGUUUGCCUCAAUGGAUAGCAAGAUUCUUUGAAAUGAGCCCAUUUGAGCCUUGGACAACGAGGGACAAAGUGGAGCAGAGUCACAUCUCAGACAUGGUAUUACCUCACCUGCCUGGCUUAGAAGACCUUGGUAUUCAGGCAAUACCACUGGAACUCAAGGCCAUCAAGGUGCUGCGGCGUCAUCGCACUUACCGCUGGUUGUCUUCUGAAAUUGAGGAUGUGAAGCCACCCAGGACCAUCAACAUCUAGUACCCCCUGAGCACUUGGCAUUGGUGUCAUUUGGGUUACCUGGCCAGUGGCCAGCCUAUAUUCUUUAGAAAG